RNAcentral lists this ribosomal RNA (500 nucleotides) under uncultured bacterium. RNAcentral describes it as "partial 16S ribosomal RNA". It matches the Rfam family "Bacterial small subunit ribosomal RNA", at positions 30 to 523 of the family's 1533-position model. The record is from RNAcentral.
AUUGAACGCUGGCGGCAUGCCUUACACAUGCAAGUCGAACGGCAGCACGGACUUCGGUCUGGUGGCGAGUGGCGAACGGGUGAGUAAUGUAUCGGAACGUGCCCAGUCGUGGGGGAUAACGUAGUGAAAAUUACGCUAAUACCGCAUACGAUCGAUGGAUGAAAGCGGGGGAUCGCAAGACCUCGCGCGAUUGGAGCGGCCGAUAUCAGAUUAGGUAGUUGGUGGGGUAAAGGCCCACCAAGCCAACGAUCUGUAGCUGGUCUGAGAGGACGACCAGCCACACUGGAACUGAGGCACGGUCCAGACUCCUACGGGAGGCAGCAGUGGGGAAUUUUGGACAAUGGGCGAAAGCCUGAUCCAGCCAUUCCGCGUGCAGGAUGAAGGCCCUCGGGUUGUAAACUGCUUUUGUACAGAACGAAAAGGUUUCUACUAAUACUAGGAGCUCAUGACGGUACUGUAAGAAUAAGCACCGGCUAACUACGUGCCAGCAGCCGCAGUAA